UACGGAGGGGGCAAGCGUUGUUCGGAGUUACUGGGCGUAAAGCGCGCGUAGGCGGUGCGGUAAGUCAGGGGUUAAAGGCUGCAGCUCAACUGCAGUAAGGCCUUUGAUACUAUCGCGCUAGAGUACCAGAGAGGAUGGCGGAAUUCCCGGUGUAGCAGUGAAAUGCGUAGAUAUCGGGAGGAAGGUCGGUGGCGAAGGCGGCCUCCUGGGCCUGCACUGACGCUGAGGCGCGAAAGCGUGGGGAGCAAACAGG
RNAcentral lists this ribosomal RNA (253 nucleotides) under uncultured microorganism. RNAcentral's name for it is "partial 16S ribosomal RNA". It matches the Rfam family "Bacterial small subunit ribosomal RNA", at positions 524 to 776 of the family's 1533-position model. The record is from RNAcentral.